GACAGAGGGUGCAAACGUUGUUCGGAAUUACUGGGCGUAAAGCGCGUGUAGGCGGCCAUCUAAGUCGGGCGUGAAAUCCCACGGCUCAACCGUGGAAGUGCACUCGAAACUGGAUGGCUAGAGUCCUGGAGAGGAAGGUGGAAUGCUUGGUGUAGAGGUGAAAUUCGUAGAUAUCAAGCGGAACACCGGUGGCGAAGGCGGCCUGCUGGGCAGUAGCUGACACUGAGGCGCGACAGCGUGGGGAGCAAACAGG
This 253-nucleotide ribosomal RNA is filed under the name uncultured bacterium. RNAcentral describes it as "partial 16S ribosomal RNA". It matches the Rfam family "Bacterial small subunit ribosomal RNA", at positions 524 to 776 of the family's 1533-position model. The record is from RNAcentral.